RNAcentral lists this ribosomal RNA (517 nucleotides) under uncultured bacterium. Its description in RNAcentral is "bacterial SSU rRNA". It matches the Rfam family "Bacterial small subunit ribosomal RNA", at positions 355 to 864 of the family's 1533-position model. RNAcentral also lists the same sequence under 1 other name. The record is from RNAcentral.
UGGGGAAUUGUUCGCAAUGGGCGCAAGCCUGACGACGCAACGCCGCGUGGAGGAUGAAGGUCUUCGGAUUGUAAACUCCUGUUGCCCGGGACGAAAAGCUCCGACCUAACACGUUGGAGUCUGACGGUACCGGGUGAGGAAGCCCCGGCUAACUCUGUGCCAGCAGCCGCGGUAAUACAGAGGGGGCGAGCGUUGUUCGGAAUUACUGGGCGUAAAGGGCGCGUAGGUGGCCUGUUAAGUCGAACGUGAAAUCCCCGGGCUCAACCCGGGAACUGCGUCCGAGACUGGCAGGCUCGAAUCCGGGAGAGGGAUGUGGAAUUCCAGGUGUAGCGGUGAAAUGCGUAGAUAUCUGGAGGAACACCGGUGGCGAAGGCGGCAUCCUGGACCGGUAUUGACGCUGAGGCGCGAAAGCCAGGGGAGCAAACGGGAUUAGAUACCCCGGUAGUCCUGGCCCUAAACGAUGAAUGCUUGGUGUGGCGGGUAUCGAUCCCUGCCGUGCCGAAGCUAACGCAUUUAG